CCUACGGGAGGCAGCAGUGGGGAAUAUUGCACAAUGGGGGAAACUCUGAUGCAGCGACGUCGCGUGAGUGAAGAAGUAUUUCGGUACGUAAAGCUCUAUCAGCAGGGAAGAAAAUGACGGUACCUGACUAAGAAGCCCCGUCUAACUACGUGCCAGCAGCCGUGGUAAUACGUAGGGGGCAAGCGUUAUCCGGAUUUACUGGGUGUAAAGGGAGCGUAGACGGCAGCGCAAGUCAGGAGUGAAAUCCCAUGGCUUAACCAUGGAACUGCUUUGGAAACUGUGCAGCUAGAGUGCAGGAGAGGUAAGCGGAAUUCCUAGUGUAGCGGUGAAAUGCGUAGAUAUUAGGAGGAACACCAGUGGCGAAGGCGGCUUACUGGACUGUAACUGACGUUGAGGCUCGAAAGCGUGGGGAGCAAACAGGAUUAGAUACCCUAGUAGUC
Molecule: ribosomal RNA, 440 nt
Filed under: uncultured bacterium
Lineage: Bacteria
Description: partial 16S ribosomal RNA
Rfam family: Bacterial small subunit ribosomal RNA
Source: RNAcentral